This 272-nucleotide unclassified non-coding RNA is filed under the name uncultured fungus. RNAcentral describes it as "sequence contains ITS1". The record is from RNAcentral. Lineage: Eukaryota; Fungi.
UUAACAAUUUUUUUUGGUUCAUUGUUCAGACAGAUGGAAUGGUAAAUCCAGAAAUUAAGUAUCCUCCCGCUGGGCAUGUGAAUCCAGAGCAGUCACUUGAGAGUUACCAACCCCACGCAGCAAUUGACUGUGUGAGGGGGACAACUCAUCUGAAAAUGCUCCAGGCCCAGCGGAAGCAACAGGAGAGGUACGCAGAGUGGGUUUGAACAGUUCACGCGGCAGCAUGACUGAGUGACAUGAUAAUGAUCCUUCCGCAGGUUCACCUACGGAAA